RNAcentral lists this unclassified non-coding RNA (6582 nucleotides) under Melitaea cinxia (Glanville fritillary). RNAcentral describes it as "misc RNA ENSMCXG00005014427.1". Lineage: Eukaryota; Metazoa; Arthropoda; Insecta; Lepidoptera; Nymphalidae. The record is from RNAcentral.
CGAUUAUCUUAUACAUAUUCAACAACACAGCGUCCCAGGGCUCAUUUUUAGUUCAGUUCUCUUUCAGUUCGGUCAUAUACUUACUUUAGUUUUUUUAUAAUCUCUUUUGGUGUCAUUAUUUAAAUGUCUUCAAUAAUCAGACACAUCUCGUACAUCAUAGAUAUAGGCAUUCAUGAAAGUUGUGAAGAAUAUAAAUUAUGCUGAGCUGUGGUAUUCAUAAUAACGCGUGGCCUUAGAAUGUUAAUAGAAAAGAUUAAAAAAUGGCGGACACUAGGUACGAAAUCUAGAUAUAAAUUGUGCAUUAGAGAGAUCUCAGAGCUUUGACGGAAUAGGAAUUAGUGAAACGUACAACAGGAGUUAUUAUAGUGGGUGCAUACCAGUUAGUUAAGACAGUAUAGUGGAUGCAAUCCGAAACAGCGUUGGUUUGGCUGCAGCGAGAUGUAUCCGAUUGUUAACUUCUUAUAGUUCUAUAAAAAGUCUUAAAUUAUAUUCUUUGUAAAACAUUUCUACAAUCAUUUUGUCAAUUAUUGUUAUCUGUUUAUGAAUUAUCAUACAAUUCUUAUUGUUUAAAUUAAUUUAAUUAUUUCUAUUGAUGUACAAAUAGUAUAAAGUUGUAAGGUUAGGUUAGGUUAUGUGAAUUCUUCUAUUAUUUUUAGGGGUAGAGAUAGUUAUAUUAAAUGUUAAUCGUCUCGUUGUCUGUGCGUGUUUAGUAAUCAAGACGUCGUAGAUUUAUUUACAUAAAUGUGUUAGGGUAAUUUUAAAUUUUUUCUUUUACUAUUGUUUUAAUUUUAUUAAUUAAAACGAUAGUGAAUGCAACUAUCAUAAUUAAGGUACCGACGCGACAAGCGACGUGUUCAAAUAACGUUAGCUGUGUACUUGCAAGCGUCUCGAGCUUGACCGCGUAACCUCAACUUCUCAUACACUAGCUAACCGUAGACGGUACAUAGAACAAUGCAUCAUAUUGUACCGAUAAAACUCAAUAAGUUUUAGAAGAAAUAAGUCUUAGAAGAAUUAGAAGCUCUUACCCUGUGACGACAUACAUCCAAAGACAAGAAAUUCAAAAACAGUACUGUGUGAUGAUGAAAUUAUAAUAACAGUGAAUUCCGAUAUAUAGAUAUUCCGAGUAGGCAAAUAACUCGAAAUAUACUUAGUAUAAAUGUUAUAAGGUUACAUAAAUUUCUUGACAUAUGUUUUUAAAAACAUUAAAAUCGGUUUACACUUAUUUAGUUGCUGUUACGCCGUUCUUGCGGUGCCAUCCGUUUUUUGUAGUAACCACAGGUACAUUGUAACAGUAGGUAGUAAUGCACAAUAAUUAGUUCUACUGGAUAAAUAAUAUAACAGUAAAAUAGUGUAAAGAGUGUCUCUGAAAUGUUUUGUCAAUACAUAAAAGGUAGGUUUCACAUUUGUAAGUGUUUAACAAAUUUCUUCGUGUAUUAAUAUAUAAUUAUAGUUAGUAAACCUUUAUCGAAAGAGUUCAUAGCAUCUAUGUCUAUAUCCAUCUAUAUCAUCUAUAUAACCAUCUAUGUCUUUCUCUCUGUCCUAUCUGCUAAAAAUAGUAAAAAAUCUGUAGGCGUAUUUGUGGUUAAUCGAUAUCUUAUAUCUCACUCGACAAUUUAAUAAGUAAGGCGUGUAAUAAGGAAUAAUCUGACGAAUAACUAUGUUCAAUUGAUAGCUAACUACAAUAUACAUAUUAUAUUUCUUAUCUAUCAUCAAAUUUAAAUAAGAGUAGCCUUAGUUUUAGUCUGGAUCUCCAGCUUACCGAGUUUCAUUACAAUCCGUUACGUAGUUGUGCCGUAAAAGAGUAACAAACAUUCAACCAAUCUCACAAACUUUUUCAUUUUUAUUAUUAUUAGAUUAAAGACUGUAGACUAACUUUGUCGAAAAUUAGGGAACAGGCCGUUAACCGAAAUUUGCCUAAUACUUACCUUAUAUAACGUUGGACAUAAUUAUCCGCAAAUUCCACCGAUACUAAUAGUCAUUUAAAUAUGUACUCCUAAAAAUGUGCUUAUAAUUAAUUAAAAUUGUUUUUUUUUCUUAGGUUACUAGUAGGUUAAUAAAUUGUUUAAAAAUAAUCUAUACAAAUAAAUAAAAUUGGAGUCUGUUAGUAAUAUUAAAAUAACCGCUUUUUCAGCCGUGUCCGCGACUUCAUCUGCGUGGAAUUUAACAAAAAAGUUACUGUUCAGUUCGUAGAGUUAUAAAAUAAAUAAAUUCCUAAAAUAAAAGUAGCCUAAGUUACUCCUUACUAUAUCAGCUAUCUGUCAGUGAAAGUCCGUCAGCCGUUUCUGAGAUUAGCUGGGACAAACAGACAGACAGACAGACAGACAGACAGACAGACAGACAAAAAUUGUAAAAAGUGUUAUUUUGGUAUGUGUACCGUGUAAACAUCUAUAUGCAUUUAGUAAAAAGCGGUUAUUUUAAUAUUACAAACAGACACUCCAAUUUUAUUUAAUUGUAUCGAUAAUUGAGAUAUUUUAAAAUCGUUCUACUCAACUUAACAUAAUAUUUAAUAACGUGUAGGUCAAAGCCAGAAUUUUAUAAUAAAGCGUAGUUUAUAAAACGAUACGCGUCGUCUUUGUUAUUAAGAAAUAUUUAUCUAUGUAUUAAUCAAGUUAAUAAUGUAAUAAUGUAUUGAAUAUCACUUCGUUAUAAAUUUAAGUCUUUUUUAAGAACAAACACAUUUAUAAUAUUUGAAAGUAGUAUUUUGUUGGAAUUUCUUAUUGAUGCGACAGCUGUUGCACAUUUUUUUAGAAAAUAAAAGAAAAAUAAAUAAAUAAUUAAUCUCGAUUGUAUACGUUGAAGUCACCAUAAAUACAUUCAGUGUGUGCUAUAAUCGAUCCUUAUCCACAAAUAUCUAUUACGUUAAAACCAGGAAAUCCAGUUAGAUAUAGGAAAUGAAAACUAUCGUAAAGAUAAAAAAAUCAUGGUCAGUGAUAAAAAUAGAUAAGUAAAUAGAUAAACUAUAUUAAUCUCCUUUUUUGAAAAGAGAUAACUACAAAACGCUAUUUUUUUGUUUUAAUUAUUAUUAUUGUAAACAAACAUUCAUUCUACUUGUGUUGUCUGGUGGUUCAUUAAUAAAUUUUAAAAAGGCUUGUAUUAUUUUAAAUAAAAUGACUUAAGUGUUUAAUUUUAUACGUUUUUUGAAAAUAAUAAUAAAUCAUAGUCUGAGGUCUCUAGGUGUAGGUGAGAAAAUGUGUUUAUUACAUAUUAUGUACUUAGACUUAUGACAGGAUAUGUAAUGUAAAAUAUUAAUUUUUAAUAUCUAAAGCAUUAAUAUGGUAAUCUAGCAUACGGUAAUUUUUAUUACGUAUAAGUAUUAUCAGUGUUCAAUAUUAAACACUUUCUAUCGCAAAAGGCAAAAAAAUCAGUAGUUGUAUAUAAUUACGAGCCAUCCAUAAAUUACGUCACACGAAUUUCUCGAUUUUUUACCCUUCCUCCGCCCCCACCUAGUGUGACGUCACAUAUUUUGCUAUUUCACACCUAUAAAUUGUUAUUUAUUAAAUUAAAACACCGGUUUCAACAUUAUUUUUAUUUCCUAUUAUCAAUAAAAUCAUCAUCAAUCCAACGUAGAUAUGAAAAAUAAAGUUAUUUUUAUAUUAAAAAUUACAUGAAUAUGUUAUGAAAAUAAUGUGAUGCUACAACAUUUUGGGUCCCUCGCCUCCCCUUGUCACACAAUGUCACACAAUGUCACACAAUGUCACACAAUGUCACACAAUGUCACACAAUGUCACACUUGGUGGACCGCCUACCUCCCCCUUACGGUGUGAUGUAAUUUAUAGAUGGCCCUUUAGACAUAUAGAUAUAAGCGUAUUUUAGCGUAUAGUAAAUAUGCACGUGUAACUUCCUUAAAUUAGAAGAUCAAUACUUCGCACAAAUAUAUCGCUAUAAACGUAAUAAUUAUUAAAAUAUACUUAAUUUUAAAAAUUUAGACUAAUAUUAUGUGUUAACAAUUUUAAUCAGACUAACAUAGAUCAGUAUUAAAUUAUUAAAAAAACUAUUCUGCUUGUUAGUAUUUAGUGAUCAAAUAUAUUAUAACUACUAGUGAUUUGAAUAAUAUCAAUAACUAUUUACCACUAGUAGUGCUCUUUCAGAUAUAGGUAGUUACAUGUUUAUGCUCAACGUUAAAAUAUAUUUAACGCUAUCCAUUUUAAGUUCUUCGAUAUAGUCAUCUUUCAUAAUUCCGUUAAAUGAAUUAUACGAUUACUUUAAAUUUUCAGUAAUUUCAAAUUCUAAUCUAAUACUAUUAAACGAGUAAUCCUUAUGUAUAUAUAUAAUCUGAAUCUCGGAAAUGACUCCAACGAUUUUCAUGAAAUUUAGUAUAUAGGAGGUUUCGGGGGCGAUCAAUCGAUUUAGCUAGGAUUCAUUUUUAGGAAAUGUCAUUUUAUCCCUGUUUUUAGGCAGUGAAAAAAUGGCUACAAUAUCGUUAGAAUACAAAGGUUAAUUUCGCAAUUGUCAAUAAAGUUGUAAAAGAAGAAGAAGACGUGAUUCAAAUCCCCAUGUCUCCAGAUCUGUUGUAAUUUUUUAUUAUUAUGUCGGUAAAAUCGGCAAAUAUUAUUCAUAUUUUAUCAAUAUGUAAUUCGUAUUUAAAUAUGAUUUAAGUGAAUAAUAUAGUAGAGAAACAUUGAUAGUUUUUGCAACAGCGAAGCCGAGGCGGUUCGCUAGUAUGUAUAAAUUAGAAUAUAUUUAGACUCUUUAGAUUGCGUAUGUUGCGUAGAUUUUGAAAGUAAGUCAUUAAAUAAUAUUCGAUGACGAUGAUAAUCAAUUCACCAAAGUUAUGGUAAUAAUUUUAAGCAAGUCAUUUUAAGAUAGCUGAAACAAUGCUGAAAUUAGAGAUAUGUGGGUAUAUAUUAGUAAUAUACUAAAUUGCUCGAUGUGUAAAUUCUAAUUCGAGUGUUUUUUUAACUUUUAAAUGAGGUAUCAUCAUAACUUUUACUCGGUGUACCGAUUUUGAUGGUCAUUUAUUUUAGACAAAAGCUUGCGUCUGUCCCAUUUAAAUUUGAGUGAGAUCGGACGAGUAGUUUUUGAAUUGAAGUAGUUUGUUUUUAUGUUUGAAAUUAGUAAACACAUUAUUAUGUUGCAGUUUGAGCGUGUGUUUUAUAAACGUAAAAUAAUUAAAAAAAAAAGACGAAAAUAAGUUCAAAAAUAUACAUACAUCGUACAUCGUCAAGCUCGUAUAGCUCGUAGAGUCGUAAGUGUCAAUUUUUUAAACAUACACAAAAGCGUCUACACGUUUCAAAUUAAUUUGUGUAUCAAAAUUAAUAAUUCAUAAUUUAGUAAAAUAUUUUUUAAUAAGAUAAUAAUAUUAUUAUAUAAGUUUAAGAGAAUGUAAAUAAUUAAAUAUGGCAGUUUAGAUGUAAAGGAGACAGAAAAAUUUGGUCAAAACCGCUAUAGAAGUGAUACAAACAAGUUUUCGAAGCUUAGAAUAUUGUAUAAUUGUUUUGCAAAUGAAUUGAAUUGCAAUGCAAUGAAUGAAUAAUCUUAGCAGCUUCUUCGGUAGCCUUAAAUAAAUUUACUUAAUAUUUAAUAACGUAAGUUGUUUUUUGUCAUCUGUGCUUAUUACAUCGUGUCUUCGCUGACACACAAAAUGUUAAGACGAAUUCACACUACUUCCUCCAAGUAAGGACGCUCUGAGGCAUGCUGUCGGUACAGCUACCAGCUACAUCUGUGAUCAAGAUCUUUUUACUUUCUCAACAUCUUUUCAGGAAUUUUUACUAGCUCCUUCUCAUUCGACUUUUCUCAAUUGUAAUCGAUACGCCAGCGGAACUGGUUUGUAUUGUCUCCGUUUGGACAAAACAAAAAAGGAUAUUUUAACAUUAAUAUAGUUAUAAGCUUAUAGGCAAGACAAUUUAGAGGCACUCUUUUCCUUUCUUUCCUGUUGUAAUAAGUAACGUCUACUUAAUAUUUUUUUGUUUAUUUUAGCCACUUAUCUAAAGACGUACAAGAGGAAAAAAAUUAAAUAAUAAUAGCGGGUCAACGAACGAGAACGGACGAAUAUUUUUUUUUUUAAUAUUUUCAUUACAAUUAUUUCUAUCUUUUAAUACGAUAUACGUAAUUAUUUGUCGUGAAAAAUAUUUAAAUUCAAUUUUAAAUAUUUAAAUUAAAUUUUAGAUUAAAAAUCGGAGUAAUUGUUUAAUGUUUUAAUAUAUAAGCGACUAGCCAACCCGUGCCCACUUCGUGAUGCAAAUAUAUAAUAAAGUUUUCAUCACGCUCCCAUUUCUCCGACUUGAUUUACAUAUACUAUUAUUUUUUACUGAAUUUAUUGUUCAAUAACAAUAAAAAUAGCCUAUAUCACUCCUGAAUAGUAUAGUUUUCUGUUAGUGAAAGAAUUUUCAUGUUCGGAUCAGUAUUUGCGAAGAUUACCCCCUACAAACAAACAAAGCUAGAAACUUUACCUCUUUAUAAUAUUAGUAUAGAUUACGUUUUAAUAUACGAUUGGUGUUAAUUGUAAUUACAAAAACUUAUAAAUAAAAUUAUAUAAUUACUUCUAAACUUGUGUUUUUAUCUUGUAAUGCACAUCUUAAACAAGGAUUAAUAAAAUUGUAACGAUUUCAGUGACUAUUAAAAUGUUUUAUUUUUCCAUCCGUA